GAAAUGCGAUAAGUAGUGUGAAUUGCAGAAUUCAGUGAAUCAUCGAAUCUUUGAACGCACAUUGCGCCCCUUGCUAUUCCAUGGGGCAUGCCUGUUCGAGCGUCAUUUGUACCCUCAAGCUCUGCUUGGUGUUGGGUGUUUGUCCCCGUCUCCGCGCGUGGACUCGCCCCAAAGUGAUUGGCAGCCGGCGUACUGGUCCCGGAGCGCAGCACAUGUCGCGCAAACGAGUGCCUUGGUACGGCGGCGUCCAUAAGCCCCUCUCUCACGCUCUUGACCUCGGAUCAGGUAGGGAUACCCGCUGAACUUAAGC
Molecule: unclassified non-coding RNA, 310 nt
Filed under: plant metagenome
Description: partial contains 5.8S ribosomal RNA, internal transcribed spacer 2, and large subunit ribosomal RNA
Rfam family: 5.8S ribosomal RNA (bases 1-105)
Source: RNAcentral